UCUGCCUAUGCGGCAGACCCAU
This 22-nucleotide small nuclear RNA is filed under the name Arabidopsis thaliana (thale cress). RNAcentral's name for it is "snRNA_10983". Lineage: Eukaryota; Viridiplantae; Streptophyta; Magnoliopsida; Brassicales; Brassicaceae. The record is from RNAcentral.